GUACGGGAGGCAGCAGUGGGGAAUUUUGGACAAUGGGGGCAACCCUGAUCCAGCCAUUCCGCGUGAGUGAAGAAGGCCUUCGGGUUGUAAAGCUCUUUCAGCUGGAACGAAACGGUGAGCUCUAACAUAGCUUGCUAAUGACGGUACCAGCAGAAGAAGCACCGGCUAACUACGUGCCAGCAGCCGCGGUAAUACGUAGGGUGCGAGCGUUAAUCGGAAUUACUGGGCGUAAAGCGUGCGCAGGCGGAUUGUUAAGCAAGACGUGAAAUCCCCGGGCUUAACCUGGGAAUGGCGUUUUGAACUGGCAGUCUAGAGUGCGUCAGAGGGGGGUGGAAUUCCACGUGUAGCAGUGAAAUGCGUAGAGAUGUGGAGGAACACCGAUGGCGAAGGCAGCCCCCUGGGAUGACACUGACGCUCAUGUACGAAAGCGUGGGUAGCAAACAGGAUUAGAUACCCUGGUAGC
This 463-nucleotide ribosomal RNA is filed under the name uncultured bacterium. RNAcentral's name for it is "bacterial SSU rRNA". It matches the Rfam family "Bacterial small subunit ribosomal RNA", at positions 339 to 794 of the family's 1533-position model. The record is from RNAcentral.